CCUACGGGAGGCAGCAGUAGGGAAUAUUGCUCAAUGGGGGAAACCCUGAAGCAGCAACGCCGCGUGGAGGAUGAAGGUUUUCGGAUUGUAAACUUCUGUUCUUAGUGAAGAAGAAUGACGGUAGCUAAGGAGCAAGCCACGGCUAACUACGUGCCAGCAGCCGCGGUAAUACGUAGGUGGCAAGCGUUGUCCGGAAUUACUGGGUGUAAAGGGAGCGCAGGCGGGAAGCCAAGUCAGCUGUGAAAACUACGGGCUUAACUUGUAGACUGCAGUUGAAACUGGUUUUCUUGAGUGAAGUAGAGGUU
Molecule: ribosomal RNA, 305 nt
Filed under: uncultured bacterium
Lineage: Bacteria
Description: bacterial SSU rRNA
Rfam family: Bacterial small subunit ribosomal RNA
Source: RNAcentral